UACCUGGUUGAUCCUGCCAGUAGUCAUAUGCUUGUCUUAAAGAUUAAGCCAUGCAUGUCUAAGUAUAAGCAUUUAUACCGCGAGACUGCGAACGGCUCAUUAAAACAGUUAUGGUUUAUUUGAUGGUUCCUUUGCUACUUGGAUAACCGUAGUAAUUCUAGAGCUAAUACAUGCACGAAGGGGCGACUCACGAAGCCCUGUAUUUAUUAGAUUAAAGCCAACCACCUCCGGGUGUUCGUGGUGAAUCAUAGUAACUUUUCGGAUCGCCGGCUCAACGCCAGCGACGUGUCAUUCAAAUUUCUGCCCUAUCAGCUUUAGAUGGUAGGAUAUGGGCCUACCAUGGCGGUGACGGGUAACGGAGAAUUAGGGUUCGAUUCCGGAGAGGGAGCCUGAGAAACGGCUACCACUUCUAAGGAAGGCAGCAGGCGCGCAAAUUACCCAAUCCUGACUCAGGGAGGUAGUGACAAGAAAUAACAAUAAACCGGCUUAUGCCGGUUUAAUUGGAAUGAGUACAAUUUAAACAUCUUAACGAGGAACAAUUGGAGGGCAAGUCUGGUGCCAGCAGCCGCGGUAAUUCCAGCUCCAAUAGC
Molecule: ribosomal RNA, 590 nt
Filed under: uncultured marine eukaryote
Lineage: Eukaryota
Description: SSU rRNA
Rfam family: Eukaryotic small subunit ribosomal RNA
Source: RNAcentral